UUAAGUUCAGCGGGUAGUCCUACCUGAUUUGAGGUCAAAUUGUCAAAAGAUAGUCUCUGAAGAGACGGUUAUAAGCAGGUUCCCACAAGUCUUGCGUCAGAGUCAAGCGGCGUAGAUAAUUAUCACACCAAGCGACCAUCCACAAAGGAUCCCACUAAUGAAUUUAAAGGGAGCAGACCAUCCAACAAAGGAAGCCAGCA
This 200-nucleotide unclassified non-coding RNA is filed under the name Mycena sp. Its description in RNAcentral is "partial internal transcribed spacer 2". Lineage: Eukaryota; Fungi; Basidiomycota; Agaricomycetes; Agaricales; Mycenaceae. The record is from RNAcentral.